AAGUCGUAACAAGGUCUCCGUAGGUGAACCUGCGGAGGGAUCAUUAACACUGGAAGAGGAACAGGACGAGCACCUAACUAGGCUCGGACUGACCUUUCACACCAACUCGCGAACUGAACGGAUGCCCUCUCCUCUGCUGCCGUCAAAGGCAGCCGAGUGUGUUUUUGUUUUUCUUGUAUUUCUACAAACCAUAAACCAACUGUUGUGACUGAAUAGCGGACUCUGUCCUGUCUAUUUCUGUAACAUUGUGAAUGUAAGCACAACUCCUAGCAACGGAUAUCUCGGUUCUC
RNAcentral lists this unclassified non-coding RNA (290 nucleotides) under fungal sp. RNAcentral describes it as "partial internal transcribed spacer region". The stretch from base 1 to 46 matches the Rfam family "Eukaryotic small subunit ribosomal RNA", at positions 1786 to 1831 of the family's 1831-position model. Lineage: Eukaryota; Fungi. The record is from RNAcentral.